GACGAACGCUGGCGGCGUGCUUAAUACAUGCAAGUCGAGCGAGGUUACUGUUUUGGAUCCCUUCGGGGUGAAGAAGCUUUAACCUAGCGGCGGACGGGUGGGUAACGCGUGGGUAACCUACCCCAAAGUCCGGGAUAACAGCGGGAAACCGCUGCUAAUACCGGAUGCCUUUACCUUGGGGCAUCUUGAGGUAAAGAAAGGCAACGCUUUGGGAUGGGCCCGCGUCCCAUUAGCUAGUUGGUGAGGUAACGGCUCACCAAGGCGACGAUGGGUAGCCGGCCUGAGAGGGUGGACGGCCACACUGGGACUGAGACACGGCCCAGACUCCUACGGGAGGCAGCAGUAGGGAAUAUUGCGCAAUGGACGGAAGUCUGACGCAGCGACGCCGCGUGAGCGAUGAAGGUCUUCGGAUCGUAAAGCUCUGUCCUUGGGGAAGAAGGCGAAAGCUUGACGGUACCCAAGAAGAAAGCCCCGGCUAACUACGUG
This 486-nucleotide ribosomal RNA is filed under the name uncultured bacterium. RNAcentral describes it as "bacterial SSU rRNA". It matches the Rfam family "Bacterial small subunit ribosomal RNA", at positions 28 to 507 of the family's 1533-position model. The record is from RNAcentral.